RNAcentral lists this ribosomal RNA (385 nucleotides) under uncultured bacterium. Its description in RNAcentral is "bacterial SSU rRNA". It matches the Rfam family "Bacterial small subunit ribosomal RNA", at positions 28 to 414 of the family's 1533-position model. The record is from RNAcentral.
GACGAACGCCGGCGGCGUGCUUAACACAUGCAAGUCGAGCGGUAAGGCCCUUUCGGGGGUACACGAGCGGCGAACGGGUGAGUAACACGUGGGUGACCUGCCCUCAGCUCUGGGAUAAGCCUGGGAAACCGGGUCUAAUACUGGAUAUGACUCCAUGACGCAUGUUGUGGGGUGGAAAGCCUUGUGCGGCUGAGGAUGGGCCCGCGGCCUAUCAGCUUGUUGGUGGGGUGAUGGCCUACCAAGGCGACGACGGGUAGCCGGCCUGAGAGGGCGACCGGCCACACUGGGACUGAGACACGGCCCAGACUCCUACGGGAGGCAGCAGUGGGGAAUCUUGCGCAAUGGGCGAAAGUCUGACGCAGCGACGACGCGUGAGGGAUGACGG